CGGUUCAGCGCCCGAGCGUGCGCGCGCGUCUCCGCUCGUCGCCCGGCUCGGCGUCGGGAGUGCACUCUGUGUGGCCGCUGCUGCAGUGUUGUUGUGGUUGUGAGAAGGCGGCGGCGGCGGCGGAGUAGCAGCCGGACCAGACGCCCUAGUAGCUCAGUCGCUGCCCUGCGCCGGGCCUGGCAGGGAGCCUGGUGAGAUGGUGGAGGAGGAGGCUGUGCCGUGGCGGGCCUUGCCAUGUCCUGCUGCCUGAUGGAGUCUUGCUCUGCUGCCUAGGCUGGUGUGCAACGGCACAAUCUCGGCUCACUGUGACCUCAGCUUCCCAGAUUCAAGCGAUUCUCCCCCCUCAGCCUCCCAAUCCCCCACCCCCACCCCUGCGAGUAGCUGGGAUUACAGGCACCCGCCAUCAUGCCUGGCUAAUUUUUGUAUUUUUGUAGAGACGAGGUUUCACCAUGUUGGCCAGGCUGGUCUUGAACUGACCUCAGGUGAUCCACCCACCUUGGCCUCCCAAGUGGUGAAAUAACAGGUGUGAGCCACCGCUCCCCAACUCAACCCAAAUUUUUUAAAUGGGCAGAGUAUUUGAACAGGUUCCUCAACAAAGAAGAUACAUGUGGCAAAUAAGCGCACAAAUGAAUGCUCCACACCACUAGUAAUUAAGGGAAUUCAAUUACUACUUACUGGAGGCUAAGAGACCAGUUAGGGGGUUACGGGAGAAAUUGUGAAUUAAAAUUAUGUAUGAUAGUAGCGGUGGGGAUGGAGAGGAGAGGAUAUGAGGAAUAUUGAGGAGAUAAAAUUGCAAAAGCUUCACACUUGGUUGGAAGUGGAAGCUGACGUGUAAGAGAAUCAGCAAUGAUUCUCAGGUUUCCAACUUGAGCAAAGGGGCGGAGGCCACUGAUAGACUCUGAGGUCAUAAAACACAAGGUGGAGCAGAUCUAGGCGGGUAUGGAGGAAGAGAUGUGACCAUUGAAGUAUUUUCUUUGUUGUUGUGUUGUUGGAAUAUUUCAAGUCAAAUCCCUGACAUCAUGUUGUUCCAUCUCUACACACUUCAACAUGUAUCACUAAAAGUAGGGACACUUUCUCCCAUAAUCACAUUGCUGUGAUCGCUCCUGAAGAUGUGCUCAAUGAUUCUGAUUAUCAUCCCAUACAUAGUCCACAGUCAUACAUACUUGAUUAUCACAAGUAUUUCUCUUUUUGCAGUCUGUCUAUUGGAAUCAGAAUCCUGACAAGGUCCACCCUGCACACCACUUUCUCACAAAGGUCCUCUCAUCCUGAGCAGUCCUCCCUGCCACUGAUUUGUUGUCCUUCAUAAUGUCCCACAAUCUGCACCUGUCUUUGUUCUCCCUCAUGAUACUGCUUCACUUCUAUGCCCUGAAUUUCCUAUAAUGGGGAAGGAGCUCUGAAGCCUGGUUGUAGGAACACUUCAUGAACAGUACUGUGCAUGGCACACAAUCUCUAGCCAUCCCACUUGUCACGCUAAAAUCGAUGACUCGCUUCUGGUAGUGUCAGCCUGACUCUUUGGACAUGCUGAGUAAGCAGAGCGAGAAAGGAAGAGGGCUUCGACCAGAGGAAGAGGAGCAGAGAAAACAGGGAAGGAGAAUUCAGGGAAGUGGGGAAAAUCGAGGGAGCAGCAGCGUGGGGGCUGAAGAAAGAAGGGUCAGGUGUCGCUGGGCAGCCAAGAAGAGACAAACAGGUCAGAUGGUUUUCACAACUGAUGGCUGAUAACUUGUAUGAGAGCAGCUUUAAUGGAGUGAUUAAGGUGUAAGUCAGAUUGCCCUGGAUGGAGGUGUGAAUAGGGGUGGGAAGUGGAGGGCAAGGAAUAUCAAUAACAAUUUCAGGAAUUUGGCUGUAAGACAAGGGAAAAAGAUGGGAGACGUGAGCAUAGGAAGAGGGAUGUUGAAAAAAGAGGUUGUGUUUAUUCUGUGGCUCUUUUGAUGGGAGACACAUUCAUGCUGGGAGGUUGAAUAUUUAGGAACCAUAAGGAACUAUUACUAACAAAGAAAGUUCCAAAAACAUUCCUGGUUGGAAGGUUUCACUGUUUUGUUCACUAAUUUCAUAUAUUUUUCUAACUCUCUACAAUUGCUUUUUGUUGUGAGCUCAACUGGUCUAGGAGACACAGAUUUUGAAACGUGAUGAAAUUAUUCAAUAAAGCUGGUGUUAGAUGCAGGUGUUAGAAUGCAUUUUUGUCAGACUUGGACCAUAUGAAUUGAAGUUACUCUAUCAUCUGACUGAUGGGCAUCACUUGUUUUUGUCUAUUUAUUUGAACUGUAUAUAUUCCAAAAAUUUUUUGAUGUAGCUGCUAUAUGAUAAGAAUAUUGCAAUGGGAUUCUCCUGGGUUUCUAAUCCAAAGUUUGUUUUUUUUAGAAAAAUAAAUUUGGACUUAGCAGAUUAAUCAUGAAUACUAUAUAACGCCAUUUGUUAGACAGUUUUGAAAUGAUAAAAUUUUAGAAAUGGAGGUUACUGAUUGCCAGGGGUUAGGAAAGCGGAAGGAGGUGGGAGGGAGGGGGAGUGAUUAUAAAAGGGCUCUUGAGGGACCCACUGUGGUGCUGGAGCCAUUCAGUAUAUUGACUAGUGGUGGAUACAUGAACUCACGCAGGUGGUAGAAUUAUACAGACAUUAAUACACACACAGUGAAAGUAAAACUAGGAAAAUCUGCCUAAGGUAAGUAGAUGGAGUUACUGUCAAUGUCCUUGUUUUGCAAAACAUCACCAUUGUGAAAUCCUAUUGAGAAUCUGAAACACAGCCUUGGUUAUAUGCUUUUUUCUUUUUUUACCCUGUAAAAAUGUUCCUUUUACCCUGUAAAGUGUUCCUUUUUAUACUGGUAAGUAUAAAAGGAACAAAUUAUACUGGUAAGUAAAAAUUACUGAUAAAGUAAUUACUGAUAAACAAAGUAACUUUAAACUGAAUAUGGGAAAUAACUGCUGUGCUGUAUGGUAUAAAUAAAUAAUAUAUUUAUCUAUAACAAUACUACUUUAUAUAAUGGAACUAGAUGUCACAAAUGGCUCUAGUACUAGUAAUGCAAUUAAUCAAUAUAAUGUUUUGUAGGGUUUUGUUUUUUAUACUCUUUGUUAAGCCUCCAAACUAGCAAGUACCCAUUACAGUAAAUGUACAAUGGAUUAUUUCUGUUUCCGCGUUUCAGUCAUUAACUCCUUAGUUGCAUAAUCUUAAAGUCAAAUUACCUUGUUGAAGGGGACAGUCUGGAUCCAUUCCAUGGAGCUCACAUCAAAAACGUCUGCUGCAUUUUCACUGUGCACUGAGAGGCACGGGGCAUUGUAACCUGGGAGGAGCAAAGACGGUAACAGCAAACAUGGGCUCCGUGAUACCUUUUUCAGUGAAUUUUUGAUGAGAUAAUUAUAGAUUCACAUGUAGUUGUAAAAAUAAUACAGAGAGAUCCCUUGUACACUCUGCCCAGAUUCAAUUCACAACAAAAUAAAACUUCAGUGUCUGGAUUACAAAUAAUUUAAAACAUAGCUAAAAAUGUAAAAGUAAAAACCUGCCGUUUUGCUAAGACCAGACCAUCAAAUAUUUAAGAGCAUUUAACUUCCAGGACUUGUGGAGUAUGCAUGACAUGAGCCACCAAAAAGAAGUUUUUAAAGGAAGAGUUAAAAUAAGUGAAAUUUUUUUCUACCUUCAUCAGUAUAAGCAGUGGAAAACACUUUUGAAAGGGCUGUCCCACCACAUAAAACGUUACAUUUGUGCUUUUCCAGCAUUCUUUUUUUUGUUUGGUUGUAUGUUUUUAUUUUUUAUUAUACUUUAAGUUUUAGGGUACAUGUGCACAACGUGCAGGUUUGUUACAUGUGUAUACAUGUGCCAUGUUGGUGUGCUCCACCCAUUAACUCAUCAUUUAACAUUAGGCAUAUCUCCUAAUGCUAUCCCUCCCCCCUCCCCCCACCCCACAACAGGCCCCAGUGUGUGAUGUUCCCCUUCCUGUGUCCAUGUGUUCUCAUUGUUCAGUUCCCACCUAUGAGUGAGAACAUGCGGUGUUUGUUUUUUUUGUCCUUUCGAUAGUUUGCUGAGAAUGAUGGUUUCCAGCUUCAUCCAUGUCCCUGCAAGGGACAUGAACUCAUCAUUUUUUAUGGCUGCAUAGUAUUCCAUGGUGUAUAUGUGCCACAUUUUCUUAAUCCAGUUUAUCAUUGUUGGACAUUUGGGUUAGUUCCAAGUCUUUGCUACUGUGAAUAGUGCCGCAAUAAACAUAUGUGUGCAUGUGUCUUUAUAGCAGCAUGAUUUAUAGUCCUUUGUGUACAUACCCAGCAAUGGGAUGACUGGGUCAAAUGGUAUUUCUAGUUCUAGAUCCCUGAGGAAUCGCCACACUGACUUCCACAAUGGUUGAACUAGUUUACAGUCCCACCAACAGUGUAAAAGUGUUCCUAUUUCUCCACAUCCUCUCUAGCACUUGUUGUUUCCUGACUUUUUAAUGAUCACCAUUCUAACUGGUGUGAGAUGGUAUCUCAUUGCGGUUUUGAUUUGCAUUUCUCUGAUGGCCAGUGAUGAUGAGCAUUUUUUCAUGUGUCUUUUGGCUGCAUAAAUGUCUUCUUUUGAGAAGUGUCUGUUCAUGUCCUUCACCCACUUUUUGAUGGGGUUGUUUUUUUCUUGUAAAUUUGUUUGAGUUCAUUAUAGAUUCUGGGUAUUAGCCCUUUGUCAGAUGAGUAGAUUGCAAAAAUUUUUCUCAUUCUGUAUGUUGCCUGUUCACUCUGAUGCUAGUUUCUUUUGCUGUGCAGAAGCUCUUUAGUUUAAUUAGAUCCCAUUUGUCAAUUUUGGCUUUUGUUGCCAUUGCUUUUGGUGUUUUAGACAUGCAGCCCUUGCCCAUGCCUAUGUCCUGAAUGGUAUUGCCUAGGUUUUCUUCUAGGGUUUUUAUGGUUUUAGGUCUAACAUGUAAGUCUUUAAUCCAUCUUGAAUUAAUUUUUGUAUAAGGUGUAAGGAAGGGGUCCAGUUUCAGCUUUCUACAUAUGGCUAGCCAGUUUUCCCAGCACCAUUUAUUAAAUCGGGAAUCCUUUCCUCAUUUCUUGUUUUUGUCAGGUUUGUCAAAGAUCAGAUGGUUGUAGAUGUGUGGUAUUAUUUCUGAGGGCUCUGUUCUGUUCCAUUGGUCUAUAUCUCUGUUUUGGUACCAGGCGCCUCCGCAACCUCCCAGGAGCUCUGACCAAGGCGCCUCACUGGGGUGGGGACCUUGCCUCACCUGGGGCCAUUUCAUAAUUCUGAAUCAUGUGUGAUAACGGAGAACUGGAAGACAAGCCUCCAGCACCUCCCGUGCGAAUGAGCAGGACCAUCUUUAGCACUGGAGGCAAAGACCCUUUGUCAGCCAAUCACAGUUUGAAACCUUUGCCUUCUGUUCCAGAGGAGAAAAAGCCCAGGCAUAAAAUCAUCUCCAUAUUCUCAGGCACAGAGAAAGGAAGUAAAAAGAAAGAAAAGGAACGGCCAGAAAUUUCUCCUCCAUCUGAUUUUGAACACACCAUCCAUGUUGGCUUUGAUGCUGUUACUGGAGAAUUCACUGGCAUGCCAGAACACUGGGCUCGAUUACUACAGACCUCAAAUAUCACCAAACUAGAGCAAAAGAAGAAUCCUCAGGCUGUGCUGGAUGUCUUAAAGUUCUACGACUCCAACACAGUGAAGCAGAAGUAUCUGAGUUUUACUCCUCCUGAGAAAGAUGGCUUCCCUUCUGGAACACCAGCACUGAAUGCCGAGGGAACAGAAGCACCUGCAGUAGUGACAGAGGAGGAGGACGAUGAUGAAGAGACUGCCCCUCCCGUUAUUGCCCCACCACCGGAUCAUAUGAAAUCAAUUUACACACGGUCUGUAAUUGACCCUGUUCCUGCACCAGUUGGUGAUUCAAAUGUUGAUGGUGGUGCCAAGUCUUUAGACAAACAGAAAAAGAAGACUAAGAUGACAGAUGAAGAGAUUAUGGAGAAACUAAGAACUAUUGUGAGCAUAGGUGACCCUAAGAAAAAAAUAUACAAGAUAUGAAAAAAUUGGACAAGGGGCUUCUGGUACAGUUUUCACUGCUACCGACGUUGCACUGGGACAGAAGGUUGCUAUCAAACAAAUUAAUUUACAGAAACAGCCAAAGAAGGAAUUGAUCAUUAAUGAGAUUCUGGUAAUGAAAGAAUUAAAAAAUCCCAACAUAGUUAACUUCUUGGACAGUUACCUGGUAGGAGAUGAAUUGUUUGUGGUCGUGGAAUACCUUGCUAGGGGGUCACUCACUGAUGUGGUAACAGAAACCUGCAUGGAUGAAGCACAGAUUGCUGCUGUAUGCAGAGAGAGUUUACAGGCAUUGGAGUUUUUACAUGCUAAUCAAGUGAUCCACAGAGACAUCAAAAGUGACAGUGUACUUUUGGGAAUGGAAGGAUCAGUUAAGCUCACUGACUUUGGUUUCUGUGCCCAGAUCACCCCUGAGCAGAGCAAACGCAGUACCGUGGUCAGAACGCCACACUGGAUGGCACCAGAAGUGGUUACACGGAAGGCUUAUGGCCCUAAAGUCAAUGUAUGGUCUCUGGGUAUCAUGGCUACUGAGAUGGUAGAAGGAGAGCCUCCAUACCUCAAUGAAAAUCCCUUGAGGGCCUUGUGCCUAAUAGCAACUAAUGGAAUCCCAGAACUUCAGAAUCCAGAGACACUUUCCCCAAUAUUUCGGGAUUUCUUAAAUCGAUGUUUGGAAACAGAUGUGGAAAAAAGGGGUUCAGCCAAAGAAUUAUUACAGCAUCUUUUCCUGAAACUAGCCAAACUGUUAUCUAGCUUGACACCACUGAUCAUGGCAGCUAAAGAAGCAAUGAAGAGUAACCGUUAACAUCACUGCUGUGGCCUCAUAUUCUUUUUUCCAUUUUCUACAAGAAGCCUUUUAGUAUAUGAAAAUUAUUACUCUUUUGGGGGUUUAAAGAAAUGGUCUGCAUAACCUGAAUGAAAGAAGCAAAUGACUAUUCUCUGAAGACAACCAAGAGAAAAUUGCAAAAAGAAAAGUAUGACUUUUAUAUGAACCCCUUCUUUAGGGUCCAAAAGGAAUUGUGGACUGAAUCACUAGCCUUAGGUCUUUCAGCAAACCGCCUAUCAGGGCCAUUUAUCAUAUGUGAGAUUUGCAUUUUACUUUGCUGACUUUGUUGUAAUAGAUCCCAUUCAUUGUCCCCUUUGGGGUAUUUCCAAUACUUGAAUGGCAGAUUGGAGUUUUUCAGAGUAUUUGUUUCAUCUGCUAGUCUUUCUCUCCUUCAUAGCUUUCCUUUUCCUGGACUUGCUCCUUUUGAGUUGCUUUUGAGUUUCUCAUGCCUAGGUAGUGUAAUAGAAAUUAUGUAGCUCCUUAUGUUGGCAAAGGAGCUCUAUAUAGUUUCACUUUUUAUAAAAGUUAGGACCAGCUGUUGUUACAUGUAAUAUUUUAGUUCAGAACUUGACCUGAAGGAAGGGAAGAAAAGUAUUUGAUUUUUACCUUUUUUAACAAAUGUGAAAAAGUCAGUUUUAGAAAUUUUGUGGUAGUAAGUUUGGCAUUUGUUACAUGUAUAGAGAGAAGACUAAUAAUCUCUAUUUAUAACUAAAUCAUUGAGAUAGAAAAAGAUUCCCAUUGACCGUAUAUUUCUUCCCAUUUCGUCUUCCCUUCUGCCUGUUUCCCCUUCAGGCUUGGCUCUAGGAACCAAAGUGAUUUGUUCUUGUUCCAACCUGGGCUUUGUGACUUUGGUUAGUGCCACUACCUUCUUCCCUCCUUUCCCCCUUCAAUUUGGAAAUAAAUUUCUGUAUAUGUUGCAA
Molecule: RNA transcript, 7710 nt
Organism: Homo sapiens (human)
Lineage: Eukaryota; Metazoa; Chordata; Mammalia; Primates; Hominidae
Gene name: serine/threonine-protein kinase PAK 2-like
Exons: 2
Source: RefSeq, a predicted model, not a curated record